This 221-nucleotide unclassified non-coding RNA is filed under the name Hevea brasiliensis (rubber tree). Lineage: Eukaryota; Viridiplantae; Streptophyta; Magnoliopsida; Malpighiales; Euphorbiaceae. The record is from RNAcentral.
GAUCCUACAGCACCUUGAUUUGGCGUGGAUAAACCACUAGCAUGAAUGGGAAGAAUAUCUGGGCUUGAUGCAGUUGCAUCACAGAUAUCAAGGGGCGUCAAAACACCUCCAUUUUUGUUUGUGGGUACUUGUUCAAGGGCAUUAACAUGAGAACUGUGAACUGGUACUAUUUGUUUAGGAUCCUGGUUAUCAUUCUGACUCCUCCUGUAAAGGUACUUCUU